RNAcentral lists this ribosomal RNA (389 nucleotides) under uncultured bacterium. RNAcentral describes it as "bacterial SSU rRNA". It matches the Rfam family "Bacterial small subunit ribosomal RNA", at positions 27 to 416 of the family's 1533-position model. The record is from RNAcentral.
GGACGAACGCUGGCGGCGUGCUUAACACAUGCAAGUCGAGCGGUAAGGCCCUUUCGGGGGUACGACGAGCGGCGAACGGGUGAGUAACACGUGGGUGACCUGCCCUCAGCUCUGGGAUAAGCCUGGGAAACCGGGUCUAAUACCGGAUAUGACUCCAUGACGCAUGUUGUGGGGUGGAAAGCCUUGUGCGGCUGAGGAUGGGCCCGCGGCCUAUCAGCUUGUUGGUGGGGUGAUGGCCUACCAAGGCGACGACGGGUAGCCGGCCUGAGAGGGCGGCCGGCCACACUGGGACUGAGACACGGCCCAGACUCCUACGGGAGGCAGCAGUGGGGAAUCUUGCGCAAUGGGCGAAAGCCUGACGCAGCGACGCCGCGUGAGGGAUGACGGCC